Molecule: non-coding RNA, 883 nt
Organism: Durio zibethinus
Lineage: Eukaryota; Viridiplantae; Streptophyta; Magnoliopsida; Malvales; Malvaceae
Source: RefSeq, a predicted model, not a curated record
UCCUUGGGAUAGUGGUAGUUUUACAAUCCCAAUAGUCGUACCUUAACCGAGCCAAAACGACAAAAAGUUCUCUUAACCAUUAAUUACUAAUCAAAACGCUGAAACUCUCACUGAGGAAACAUAGGAAGCAAAGGGCAACGAUGAAGACGAUCAAAGUCAUAGUACUGAUAGUAGCUUUCAUCCUCGCACUUUCUCUUUUGUCGUUUCCUUCAGUCGGAUUCCAAUCCGACGAGCUGCUCGUUGACGACGAAGAGUUUGGAUUCGAGGGGGCUCCCCAACUUCGCUCCCCUGAACUAUUCUCCACCGGAUCCGCACUAGUAACAACCCCGAUCCGGAAGAGACUUUCGGAUCUCGAUUCUCGAUUCUGAUUCUAAGAUCCAUUUCUCUCUUGACCACGCUUUCGGUGACUCCGAUUUCUCUCCCGCUGGCACUUUCUCCGCCCGCGUUAAAAACUUGGAGCCAUGGUGGCCAGAGAUGUCUUCCAAGGGAGGGUUUGGAUGAGCAUUUUGUAAUACACAUGGAGGGUGUAAAUGUUUUGGCAGUCAAUUAUGGUUCUCCUGGUUCUCCCCAUAUCCUCGGAAUUUGAAACUACCUGCAAAGUGGUCCUUCAGCUCACAUACAGUUUUGAAGAACAGUGAGCAGGCACCGACGUAUGUUUCUUUCGAAAUUGUUCUUUCUCACUUUUUGCAUCCUAGCUUUUCUUUUUCAACAUUAGCAUUAUCUGUUCUUGGGAAAUGGGAUAUUUUGUUCAACAUAUAUUAUCGAUAGAUCUAGCAAUUUGUGUGUUUUUAUCAUAUCUCAUAUUGUGUUUGAUAUGUGUAAUGAUACGAAUUAUUAAAACAUGAAUAUGACACGUUUAAUAUACGUAUUAUAUGCGAUACGA